UACGUAGGUGGCAAGCGUUGUCCGGAUUUACUGGGCGUAAAGAGCGCGCAGGCGGUCGUUCAAGUCGCGUGUGAAAGCCCCCGGCUCAACUGGGGAGGGUCACGCGAUACUGAUCGACUCGAAGGCAGGAGAGGGUAGUGGAAUUCCCGGUGUAGUGGUGAAAUUCGUAGAUAUCAGGAGGAACACCAGUGGCGAAGGCGGCUUCCUGGACACUAACUGACGCUGAGACGCGAAAGCGUGGGGAGCGAACAGG
Molecule: ribosomal RNA, 253 nt
Filed under: uncultured bacterium
Lineage: Bacteria
Description: partial 16S ribosomal RNA
Rfam family: Bacterial small subunit ribosomal RNA
Source: RNAcentral